Molecule: ribosomal RNA, 253 nt
Filed under: uncultured bacterium
Lineage: Bacteria
Description: partial 16S ribosomal RNA
Rfam family: Bacterial small subunit ribosomal RNA
Source: RNAcentral
UACAGAGGGGGCAAGCGUUGUCCGGAUUUACUGGGCGUACAGCGCGCGCAGGCGGUUGCGUAUGUGAGCGGUGACAUCCGCGGGCUCAACCCGCGGCGGCCCGCUUACACCGCGCGACUGGAGGCAGGGAGAGGGAUGUGGAAUACCCGGUGGAGCGGUGAAAUGCGUAGAGAUCGGGUGGAAAACCAGGGGCGAAGGCGGCAUCCUGGCCCUGUACUGACGCUGAGGCGCGAAAGCUAGGGGAGCAAACGGG